UACAGAGGGUGCAAGCGUUAAUCGGAAUUACUGGGCGUAAAGCGUGCGUAGACGGUUGCGUAAGUCAGAUGUGAAAGCCCCGGGCUCAACCUGGGAAUUGCAUUUGAGACUGCGUAGCUAGGGUGCGGAAGAGGGAAGCGGAAUUUCCGGUGUAGCGGUGAAAUGCGUAGAUAUCUGGAGGAACACCGGUGGCGAAGGCGGCAUCCUGGACCGAUAUUGACGCUGAUGCGCGAAAGCCAGGGGAGCAAACGGG
RNAcentral lists this ribosomal RNA (253 nucleotides) under uncultured bacterium. Its description in RNAcentral is "partial 16S ribosomal RNA". It matches the Rfam family "Bacterial small subunit ribosomal RNA", at positions 524 to 776 of the family's 1533-position model. The record is from RNAcentral.